CAGCAGCCGCGGUAAUACGAAGGGGGCUAGCGUUGUUCGGAUUUACUGGGCGUAAAGCGCACGUAGGCGGACUUUUAAGUCAGGGGUGAAAUCCCGGGGCUCAACCCCGGAACUGCCUUUGAUACUGGAAGUCUUGAGUAUGGUAGAGGUGAGUGGAAUUCCGAGUGUAGAGGUGAAAUUCGUAGAUAUUCGGAGGAACACCAGUGGCGAAGGCGGCUCACUGGACCAUUACUGACGCUGAGGUGCGAAAGCGUGGGGAGCGAACAGGAUUAGAUACCCGCGUAGUCCCUGUCUCUUAUAA
This 301-nucleotide ribosomal RNA is filed under the name uncultured bacterium. RNAcentral's name for it is "partial 16S ribosomal RNA". It matches the Rfam family "Bacterial small subunit ribosomal RNA", at positions 509 to 809 of the family's 1533-position model. The record is from RNAcentral.